GAACGCACAUUGCACUCCUUUGGAGUAUGCCUGUUUGUGAAUCUAUAGUAUUUAUUUCUGGGUUACUUUUAUUAGUACUCUGAAGAUUUGAGAUGUCUCCCCGCAAGGGCGAGUAUCUUUAAAAUUAUAGCCUCUUUUGUGGUAAAUUAACUCUGCAGAACAGUAUUUGAAUGGAACCUUGGUUUCUCAUAAUGCCCAAUACGCAGACUUACCUAUUGAAAAGGGGGUCCAUAACCUAAAGUCUGGCGUUAAAACCAGACUUGAACCAUGGUCUCAAAUCAGGUAGGAAGACCCGCUGAACUUAAG
This 306-nucleotide unclassified non-coding RNA is filed under the name uncultured fungus. RNAcentral describes it as "sequence contains 5.8S rRNA gene". The record is from RNAcentral. Lineage: Eukaryota; Fungi.